AUUGAACGCUGGCGGCAGGCUUAACACAUGCAAGUCGAACGAGUGGCGGACGGGUGAGUAAUGCUUGGGAAUCUGGCUUAUGGAGGGGGAUAACUACGGGAAACUGUAGCUAAUACCGCGUACCAUAGGAUGAGCCCAAGUGGGAUUAGGUAGUUGGUGAGGUAAAGGCUCACCAAGCCGACGAUCCCUAGCUGGUCUGAGAGGAUGACCAGGCACACUGUGACGGAGCCACGGCCCCGACUCCUACGGGAGGCAGCAGUGGGGUAUCUUGCGCAAUGGGAGCAGCCUGACGCAGCCAUGCCGCGUGUAUGAAGAAGGCCUUCGGGUUGUAAAUUUCUUUCGCUAGCGAGGCGUUAACUCCAGAAGAAGCACCGGCUAACUCCGUGCCAGCCGCCGCGGUAAUUC
Molecule: ribosomal RNA, 405 nt
Filed under: uncultured bacterium
Lineage: Bacteria
Description: partial 16S ribosomal RNA
Rfam family: Bacterial small subunit ribosomal RNA
Source: RNAcentral